This 934-nucleotide ribosomal RNA is filed under the name uncultured archaeon. RNAcentral describes it as "bacterial SSU rRNA". It matches the Rfam family "Archaeal small subunit ribosomal RNA", at positions 1 to 922 of the family's 1478-position model. The record is from RNAcentral.
UCCGGUUGAUCCUGCCGGACCUGACUGCUAUCGGGAUAAGACUAAGCCAUGGAAGUCGACGCGCGCCCUUGCGCGCGUGGCGUACGGCUCAGUAACGCGUGGUUAACCUGCCCUCGCGAUGGGUAUAACCUCGGGAAACUGAGGAUAAUCCCCAAUAGGCGAUUGGAUCUGGAAGGACCUUUCGCCCAAAGGGAUGGGGCAAAUGGGCCUCAUCCGCGCGAGGAUGGGACUGCGUCCCAUCAGGCAGUUGGUGGGGUAAUGGCCCACCAAACCUAUAACGGGUACGGGCCGUGAGAGCGGGAGCCCGGAGAUGGGCACUGGGACAAGGGCCCAGGCUCUACGGAGCGCACCAAGCGCGAAACCUUCGCAAUGCGCGAAAGCGUGACGGGGCUAUCCCGAGUGCUAGCCGCUGAGGCUAGCUUUUGCUCAGUGUAAGAAGCUGAGCGAAUAAGUGGGGGGCAAGACUGGUGUCAGCCGCCGCGGUAAUACCAGCUCCACGAGUGGUCAGGACGGUUAUUGGGCCUAAAGCGUCCGUAGCCGGCUCAGCAAGUUUAUGGUGAAAUCCGUCGUCUCAAGCGUCGGAGUGCUGUAAAUACUGCUGGGCUAGGGAGUGGGAGAGGCCGAGGGUACCUCCGGGGUAGGGGCGAAAUCCUAUAAUCCCGGAGUGACGACCAGUGGCGAAAGCGCUCGGCUAGAACACGUCCGACGGUGAGGGACGAAAGCUGGGGCAGCAAACCGGAUUAGAUACCCGGGUAGUCCCAGCCGUAAACCAUGCGGGCUAGUUGUCGGAGCGGCUUAGUGCCGCUCCGGUAACGCAGGGAAGCCAUUAAGCCCGCCGCCUGGGGAGUACGACCGCAAGGUUGAAACUUAAAGGAAUUGGCGGGGGAGCACCACAAGGGGUGAAGCUUGCGGCUCAAUUGGAGUCAACGCCGGG